RNAcentral lists this ribosomal RNA (561 nucleotides) under uncultured soil bacterium. Its description in RNAcentral is "bacterial SSU rRNA". It matches the Rfam family "Bacterial small subunit ribosomal RNA", at positions 809 to 1370 of the family's 1533-position model. The record is from RNAcentral.
AUGGAUACUAGGUGUCCGGGAUGUUAACCUCCUGGGUACCGAAGCUUACGCAUUAAGUAUCCCGCCUGGGGAGUACGGUCGCAAGACUAAAACUCAAAGGAAUUGACGGGGGCCCGCACAAGCGGUGGAGUAUGUGGUUUAAUUCGAAGCAACGCGCAGAACCUUACCUGGGCUUAACAUCCUCAGACAACCGCAGAGAUGCGGCUUUCCCUUCGGGGACUGAGAGAUAGGUGCUGCAUGGCUGUCGUCAGCUCGUGUCGUAAGAUGUUGGGUUAAGUCCCGCAACGAGCGCAACCCUUGUCCUUAGUUGCCACCAUUAAGUUGGGCACUCUGAGGAGACUGCCGGUGUUAAACCGGAGGAAGGCGGGGAUGACGUCAAGUCCUCAUGGCCCUUACGUCCAGGGCUACACACGUACUACAAUGGCAGAGACAAAGGGUCGCCGAAACCGCGAGGUUGGAGCUAAUCCCAAAAACACUGUCUCAGUCCGGAUUGAAUCUGCAACUCGACUUCAUGAAGCUGGAAUCGCUAGUAAUCGGAGAUCAGCACCUCCGGUGAAUACU